GAUGAACGCUGGCGGCGUGCCUAAUACAUGCAAGUCGAGCGAACAGACGAGGAGCUUGCUCCUCUGACGUUAGCGGCGGACGGGUGAGUAACACGUGGAUAACCUACCUAUAAGACUGGGAUAACUUCGGGAAACCGGAGCUAAUACCGGAUAAUAUAUUGAACCGCAUGGUUCAAUAGUGAAAGACGGUUUUGCUGUCUCUUAUAGAUGGAUCCGCGCCGCAUUAGCUAGUUGGUAAGGUAACGGCUUACCAAGGCAACGAUGCGUAGCCGACCUGAGAGGGUGAUCGGCCACACUGGAACUGAGACACGGUCCAGACUCCUACGGGAGGCAGCAGUAGGGAAUCUUCCGCAAUGGGCGAAAGCCUGACGGAGCCACGCCGCGUGAGUGAUGAAGGUCUUCGGAUCGUAAAACUCUGUUAUUAGGGAAGAACAAAUGUGUAAGUAACUAUGCACGUCUUGACGGUACCUAAUCAGAAAGCCACGGCUAACUACGUG
This 497-nucleotide ribosomal RNA is filed under the name uncultured bacterium. RNAcentral's name for it is "partial 16S ribosomal RNA". It matches the Rfam family "Bacterial small subunit ribosomal RNA", at positions 28 to 507 of the family's 1533-position model. The record is from RNAcentral.